AUUACACUAAAUGAAAUGUAGUAUUUAAAAAAAAGAUUAAUUUCGUACAGAUUUUUACAAAUAUAGUGAAUUGCAAAUAAUCUACACAAAGUUUAACUUUUAUAUAUUGUUCAAACAAAAAUUCUAAUAUUUUCACAUAUACCAUUUCUGUUAGAAUCCGUUAGAAAAUUUUAAGUAACUAUAGUUUAAAUACUUAACAUUAAUUAGUUUAUAAUAUAAUUUGAUAUUUUUAUUCCUCUUAUAUUAUACUAUUGUCAUUUUUAAAGGGAUAAAUUUGUGAUGACAAAAUAGACAUUUCAUUAAAAAUAAAUAAUUUUAUAAUAAUAAUAAAUUAGACAAAUAUAUUUAAAAAUAUUAAAAUUUUUAUUAAAAAAAAUAUAUAAAAAUUAAAUUUUAUGUAAAUAUAUUUAUAAUUUUUUUAUGUUUGUGGGGAUAUGUAUGCAUUUAACCCUUAAAAGAAAUACAAAAAAACA
Molecule: long non-coding RNA, 473 nt
Filed under: Ananas comosus (pineapple)
Lineage: Eukaryota; Viridiplantae; Streptophyta; Magnoliopsida; Poales; Bromeliaceae
Description: long non-coding RNA (ACOM_LNC015895)
Source: RNAcentral